RNAcentral lists this ribosomal RNA (249 nucleotides) under Triticum aestivum (bread wheat). Its description in RNAcentral is "partial small subunit ribosomal RNA". Lineage: Eukaryota; Viridiplantae; Streptophyta; Magnoliopsida; Poales; Poaceae. The record is from RNAcentral.
AUGCAAGCGAAAAAUGAUAUCAUUUGAAAGCAUGCGAAUGACGGGAUAUAUACGGCGAGCUCCGCCUACAAGGCUCAAUUUCUAGGCUUGACCCUCUCCCCCAUGAACGGCAUGGUUUGGAAGGCUUGGGCAUUUUCGAAGGUUAAAUUCUUUGCUUGGUUAGCCUUGCAAGAUAGGAUUUGGACAACCAAUCGUCUGGAGAAGUGUGGUUGGCCAAACUGUGGGCCCGCUUUGCAAGAGGGAACAUGA